UGCUUUUAAUUGUAUUUCGAAUUUUGUUUUUAUUUAAUACAUAUAGCCGGCAAUAAUUACGAUAUAUUCAUUUCAUAAGGAAUACAUAAUAAUUGUAGAAUUUUUACUUUGCAAUUUGCAUGUGUGUGUGAGUGUGUAUAUGUAUGUGUGUGCAUAUAAAACAAGGUAAACUUAAAAAAAAAACGCUGUCAUUGAGAGCCAAUUAGUGCAGGGUGUAUAUUUAUUAUUAAAAUUUUAAAAAUUAAA
Molecule: long non-coding RNA, 246 nt
Organism: Drosophila navojoa
Lineage: Eukaryota; Metazoa; Arthropoda; Insecta; Diptera; Drosophilidae
Source: RefSeq, a predicted model, not a curated record